This is a long non-coding RNA of Gymnodraco acuticeps, 271 nucleotides long. RefSeq lists it as uncharacterized. Lineage: Eukaryota; Metazoa; Chordata; Actinopteri; Perciformes; Bathydraconidae. The transcript has 3 exons. The record is from RefSeq and is a predicted model, not a curated record.
CCGCGGCUGGCCCGGAGUGAGUGCCCAGAGGAGUGAGAGGGACGUAUCCGGCUUGGCUCCUCCUAUAUUCUUUCCCCAGACGUGUCUCCAAGGAAGAAGCUCAAGAAGAAGAACCUCCAACACUUUGAAGAAUGCAGCCAUAAGAUCGUGGGAGGAGAGCAGUACUACCCAGUGAAGACUGUAGUAAAAACCAAAAGGCUCGUCAUAAAUACAGGUCACUGUCAGCUCAUAUAAUGUACAUCUAAAGCAUGCUACAGACGCACUUUGUGGA